CCCGCCACUUGAAGAUAAGCCCGCAUCUGAUUAGUUAGUUGGUAGGGUAAUGGCCUACCAAGACCGCGAUCAGUAGCUGUUCUAAGAGGAAGAUCAGCCACAUUGGGACUGAGAUACGGCCCAGACUCCUACGGGAGGCAGCAGUGAGGAAUUUUGCGCAAUGGGGGAGACCCUGACGCAGCAACGCCGCGUGACCGAUUGAAGCUUUUAGGAGUGUAAAGGUCUGUCGUGAAGGAAGAAAAAGUCCGAGAAUAAUAAGUUCGGUAAUUGACGGUACUUCACAAGCAAGCUCCGGCUAACUUCGUGCCAGCAGCCGCGGUAAUACGAGGGGAGCAAGCGUUGUCCGAAAUAACUGGGCGUAAAGGGUACGUAGGCUUUUUUGUAUGUUUUCGGUGAAAUCCACAGGCUCAACUUGUGGCUUGCCGGAAAAACUGCAGAGAUUGAAUCCGGAAGGGGAAAGCGGAAUUCCUGGUGUAGCGGUGAAAUGCGUAGAUAUCAGGAGGAACACCAGUGGCGAAGGCGGCUUUCUGGUCCGGAAUUGACGCUGAUGUACUAAAGCGUGGGUAGCAAACAGGAUUAGAUACCCUGGUAGUCCACGCCCUAAACGAUGUAUACUUGAUGUCGGGAUGUUCGGUCGUCUCGGUGUCGUAGCUAACGUGUUAAGUAUACCGCCUGGGGACUACGGUCGCAAGACUGAAACUCAAAGGAAUUGACGGGGGCCCGCACCAGCGGUGGAACAUGUGGUUUAAUUCGAUGCAACGCGAAGAACCUUACCUGGGCUUGACAUAUGUAUGAAGUAUGUAAGAAAUUAUGUAUUCUGUCUGAUUUUUCAGACAGCAUAUAUACAGGUGAUGCAUGGCUGUCGUCAGCUCGUGUCGUGAGAUGUAGGGUUAAGUCCCUUAACGAGCGCAACCCUUACUUUUAGUUGCCAUCAGGUAAAGCUGGGGACUCUAGAAGGACUGCCGAGGUUAACUCGGAGGAAGGUGGGGAUGACGUCAAGUCAGUAUGUCCCUUAUGUCCAGGGCUACACACGUGUUACAAUGGCCGGUACAGAGUGCCGCGAAGCCGCGAGGUGAAGCAAAUCACUCAAAGCCGGUCCCAGUUCGGAUUGGAGUCUGCAAUUCGACUCCAUGAAGUUGGAAUCGCUAGUAAUCGCAGAACAGCACGCUGCGGUGAUACGUUCCCGGGCCUU
Molecule: ribosomal RNA, 1192 nt
Filed under: uncultured organism
Description: bacterial SSU rRNA
Rfam family: Bacterial small subunit ribosomal RNA
Source: RNAcentral